UUCCUGUGAGGACUGUCCUGUCUCCCUCACCGGGACAUGUCCUCAGCCUGGUUACAUGAUGCAAUAUGACAGAGAGCUUACAGAGCCAUGUCAUUUGCUGCUUCAUUUCCUGGCACAGCUCGGCCACGGGGCUAUGCUUUUUUCCUGCCUCAUUCACCUGUAGCUGUUUGUUUUUCUCCUUUUUACCACUCCACAGUGAAAUUAACCAGCGUCCUUCUGCUGUCAGGCAGUUUCACACACACUGUAGGGAUGAACAACAGACAUCUUGCACGGAGUAUACGCAAGCUGCCAGGAAAACUGCCGACUCCAGCAACCAAGAAACAAAGUUAGGGUCUCUGGGAUCGUUCCUCUCCCUCAUUUGGAGCUGACAUCUCACCAAAACAACAGCAGAGAAAAUAUGCGACACACAUGGAGGAGAGGAUUGGAUUUGAGGAGAUACUGACGGGGGUGCACAGCUGCAGCAGUCCCCUCCACCUCCCCAUCUCCACACCAGGACUAUCGCCCCUCUCCCUCGCCCUCUCACACACUCUCUCUCUCUCUCUCUCUCUCUCUCUGUCUCUCUCUGUCUCUCUCUCUCUCUCUCCCUCUCUCUCCCCGUCUCUCUCUAUCUGUCUUUCUGCCUCUGUGAGGGGUGGGGGGCGCCAUAUGGGAGCUCAGAAAAAUGGAAGUGGAUCGGAGAUAGAAGAGAGGAAUCUUUCAGUCUUGGGCUCGGAUGUCGGGAUCUAUGCGAGAGGACAGAACUCGACCUGGGACAAAAUGAACCCCUGAGCAUGGCACAUCCAUGAAGGGAGCCCUGGCAAUUGUCUCUGUCUCUCUCCCCGUGUUCCCAGAGUGACGAAGAGGAAGAGGAGCCUGAGCAGGAGGAAGGGAUAGGAAAAGGAAAAGAGGUGGGGGGUGGCUCUCUCUCUGCCAGUGCAAAAGCAGAGCCUAGCUUUCUCCUCGUUAUUAGUAUGCAGCGGGUGUCGCUCGGGUGACACGGCUGCUGGAUUUGGACCCGACCGCAGGAGCGUCAGCACAGUGUCGGAGAGCAGGAUAGCAGGUAAGGGCAACUAGAACAGGAAGAAGAAAAGGAAAGGAGAGAUGGGAAGAUUGGGAGGGAGAAGAUCACGGGAGGAGGGGAGGGCAAGGGCUAGACUUCCUCUGAGGACCGUAGUCUCCUACACACACACACACACACACACACACACACACACACACACACACACACCACUGUGAUUCUUUUCACUCAGAUCCAGCCUCGCUCUCAAAGCCACAUCCAUAGCAUAACUGUUCAAAGUAAGUGUAAGAAAUACUCAUGUAAUCAUAAAACAAAUAUAAUUGCGUGUAACUGUAUGUUUUUUCUUGAGAUGCAUAGAAACUAGGUGCACUAUUUUGUAAUGUGUAAUCUCUGGGAUCAUACAGUUGUGUUUAUUGAAAUAAAAUUUGUGUUUCAUAUGGUGUAUGCAUUGUUUCCAUUAUUUUCCAUUUAUGUCAUUUGUUUUUAGGCCUUAUUAGAAAAUAAAAUGUUUGUACACUAGAUAUUGGAAUGCCAAAACUGUGCUUUGUAAAUAAUGUGAUGUCAUUAAAUGUUCUCUUUGAAUAUA
Myripristis murdjan (pinecone soldierfish) is the source of this 1583-nucleotide long non-coding RNA. RefSeq lists it as uncharacterized. NCBI's taxonomy places the organism in Eukaryota, Metazoa, Chordata, Actinopteri, Holocentriformes, Holocentridae. The record is from RefSeq and is a predicted model, not a curated record. The transcript has 6 exons.